GGGGUCGUUAUGGAUUCGACGGGUAUAGUUCGAAUUCGAAUGGCGUUACGUAGCGGCGUCUACGCAAAAACGUCCAGUUUUAAAUUAUAACUGCAAACAAUAAUUCAAACAACGCUACUUUAAUGGCUGCUUAAUAGGCGCCUUGUAGCAAUCCAAUUUAGCUUUACCUAUGGGUUAACAUUGGGUUUUAUAUGAAAUAGGUUACGCUAUUCAACUCACACCUGAAGUUGGUAGAAGAGAUUAAUCAGGUUAGCUAAUCAUGAUAGCCUUGGUGUAUGGCGUUUUAAUUAGUGAAGUUCAAAUAAUACUCCUAUGAGCGUAGAAAUUCGAAUGGCGAUAUGCUCGGACGCGGGUUCAAAUCCCGCCGACUCCA
RNAcentral lists this transfer-messenger RNA (373 nucleotides) under Apilactobacillus micheneri. It matches the Rfam family "transfer-messenger RNA". Rfam says of the family: Bacterial tmRNA, also known as 10Sa RNA or SsrA, is named for its dual tRNA and mRNA-like properties. Its role is to liberate the mRNA from a stalled ribosome. Lineage: Bacteria; Bacillati; Bacillota; Bacilli; Lactobacillales; Lactobacillaceae. The record is from RNAcentral.